GUUGCAACGUCUGGAGCUGUGCAUGUGCUAUCUUCUCGCACGACUCCACUGAUUCAUCUCCAGGCCUUGCGAUGGUGCCAUUGCCCUGGAAAAGAGGCAAGAGUUUCUGUUCCAAGCUCUAGUUUUCAGGUCCAGAUGGAUAAUAGAUCACCAAGUUUUGGAACUGGGUGCAGUGCCCUGCUUAACGAAGUUGAACAUUCACAUCUUUUCCUUGAUGAGAUGUACCUCUGAAUCUGGUUUGUAGGUGAUGGUGAAGCAAGUGGCCCUGAAUAAGGGUACUAUAAAUCUGAAGGUAAAGACUACAGAAAUUUGCGGCCUUAUGCCUCCCUGAGAUAUGUUUGUGGCCAGGGGCGGAGUUUCGUGUGGUGACCCGUGUGUUAAAUGUUGUAACUCCGGUGGCCAUGGGAUGGCUGUUGCCCUGGGGCUGUGAGCAGUACUUACUUUUAUGCUGCCAUAUUUCUAGGCCUUUUGUUAAGCAGUGUGUUUGCCUUCAAACUGGCGAGCUAGCUUCUUCUGCUGCUAGGGGUGUCUGUUGUAGAAUAAUAAUACGGAUGCAGUAAUUACUGAGCUCUGACUAUUACUUCAGAUUCUUCUGUUGUUUUCUUGCCUCCAA
Molecule: non-coding RNA, 613 nt
Organism: Aegilops tauschii subsp. strangulata
Lineage: Eukaryota; Viridiplantae; Streptophyta; Magnoliopsida; Poales; Poaceae
Source: RefSeq, a predicted model, not a curated record